AUACGUAGGGGGCGCGCGUUGUCCGGAAUGAUUGGGCGUAAAGGGCGCGUAGGCGGCUUUGCAAGUCAGUAGUGGAAGUCCAUUUUUCAAGGAUGGAAGUGCUACAGAAACUGCGGAGCUUGAGUGCAGGAGAGGUUAUCGGAAUUCCCGGUGUAGCGGUGAAAUGCGUAGAGAUCGGGAGGAACACCAGUGGCGAAGGCGGGUAACUGGACUGCAACUGACGCUGAGGCGCGAAAGUGUGGGGAGCAAACAGGAUUAGAUACCCUGGUAGUCCACACUGUAAACGAUGAAUGCUAGGUGUAGGAGGUAUCGACCCCUUCUGUGCCGCAGUAAACACAGUAAGCAUUCCGCCUGGGGAGUACGGUCGCAAGAUUAAAACUCAAAUGAAUUGACGGGG
Molecule: ribosomal RNA, 397 nt
Filed under: uncultured bacterium
Lineage: Bacteria
Description: partial 16S ribosomal RNA
Rfam family: Bacterial small subunit ribosomal RNA
Source: RNAcentral